This 236-nucleotide unclassified non-coding RNA is filed under the name Hevea brasiliensis (rubber tree). The record is from RNAcentral. Lineage: Eukaryota; Viridiplantae; Streptophyta; Magnoliopsida; Malpighiales; Euphorbiaceae.
UUCUCAGACAGCGGCACGGUGGUCUGGAUGAUGUAUCCGGUGAUCGGUGUGAAGGUGUAAGUCACCUCGCUCCAGAUCAACUGCGUGUUCGCGACAAGAAGAUCGGCCGGGAUCGUUGUGAUGACUGUAUCCUUGGGAUAGCCGGUCGUGACCGUGACAGAGCUGGCGCCGCUGACAGCGCCGGAGUAACUCCAGACCACCUUCGCAUUCUUCGAUGCAUCGAUGCUGACCGCGGA